RNAcentral lists this ribosomal RNA (253 nucleotides) under uncultured bacterium. RNAcentral's name for it is "partial 16S ribosomal RNA". It matches the Rfam family "Bacterial small subunit ribosomal RNA", at positions 524 to 776 of the family's 1533-position model. The record is from RNAcentral.
UACGAAGGGUGCGAGCGUUAUUCGGAAUAACUGGGCGUAAAGGGCGCGUAGGCGGUGCCUUAAGUUGACGGUUAAAAACCUUGGCUUAACCAAGGGAGUGCCGGCAAUACUGAGGUGCUAGAGGGUAGUAGAGAGGAGUGGAAUUCUCGGAGUAGCGGUAAAAUGCGUAGAUCUCGAGAGGAACACCGAUGGCGAAGGCAGCUCCUUGGGCUACAUCUGACGCUAAGGCGCGAAAGCGUGGGGAGCAAACAGG